AAGCUCGUAGUUGAAUUUCGGGGUUAGUAGGUUGGUCAUGCCUCUGGUAUGUACUGGUCUCACUGAUUCCUCCUUCCUUAUGAACCGUUAUGCCAUUAAUUUGGUGUUGCGGGGAAUUUGGACUGUUACUUUGAAAAAAUUAGAGUGUUUAAAGCAAGCUAACGCUUGAAUACAUUAGCAUGGAAUAAUGAAAUAGGACGUUCGAUCUUAUUUUGUUGGUUUCUAGGAUUGACGUAAUGAUUAAUAGGGAUAGUUGGG
RNAcentral lists this ribosomal RNA (258 nucleotides) under uncultured Glomus. Its description in RNAcentral is "partial 18S ribosomal RNA". It matches the Rfam family "Eukaryotic small subunit ribosomal RNA", at positions 624 to 886 of the family's 1831-position model. The record is from RNAcentral. Lineage: Eukaryota; Fungi; Glomeromycota; Glomeromycetes; Glomerales; Glomeraceae.